UGCAAUUAGCAACGCUAUACAAAAGGCUGAGCAAGCGGUAACAUAGCUAAACAGUGGUUUGCUGGGUUGUGGAAAGGUUAGAGGUUUUCAUGGCAAUGUUGGGAGGCUGACAUUUAACAUGUGGUAGGCAGCGAGACAUAGCGAAAGAAACGAGACAACUAGCAUGGCAAUGAUAGUAAUGAUAUCUUGGGAAAUGAUCAUCUUG
This 205-nucleotide long non-coding RNA is filed under the name Hordeum vulgare. Its description in RNAcentral is "long non-coding RNA (HVUL_LNC018802)". The record is from RNAcentral. Lineage: Eukaryota; Viridiplantae; Streptophyta; Magnoliopsida; Poales; Poaceae.